CAGUGAGCCAAACUGGCUAGGGCACAGGUUAUAUUUUUUAGGAAUAAAAACAAUUUGGGCUUCCAUAAUUUAAUCAACCUAAUUCCCCACCCCAUCCCCAUUCACCCCUAAAUAGCCAAAUGAGCAAAAGAAGGCACUUGUUGUAUUUUUAAAAACAUUUUUUACCCACUCCUUAGCUACUUUCUUUGGACUGAUAUCUGAAAUGCCACCAUUGGGACCUUAUACCUUGAUGCUUUCUUAAGGAAAAGAUACCCUUUGGGUGAGGUAAAUAUCACUCUAUUAGCAGCCAUCCAUUACUUUAAUGUGAAUGGAUUACCUGAGAAAGGGAUGUUGAAAAACUACAUAAGGGAUCCAAGUAUGAGGGCCUUGAGCUGUGAGCCAUAGGAGAGCACCCUGCACUGAUUAAAAGGGAUGCCACCAAACAAAAUCAGGACAGAAAAGGGGAAACAGGAGUUUCCAAUGACACAAACUUCACUUCACAGGUUUGCUGUUGGACACCCCUGUCCCAAACGCCUAGUGAAGGGGGCAAUAGAAAUUAAACAGGGUGAAGGGAGUUGAAGUCGGCUAAAGACUUUUCCAUAAAGGAACGUCGCCUAUGUCUAAUUGAAUAAAAAGCGGCCUGGGAAGAGGUGUGAGGGCUCUACUAGAAUCAUGUAUCUGAAAUACAGUGGCAGAAAAGCAAAAGUUAAAAUAAAAACUGAGCUACAGGUUGUGACCAUUCAUCUCUUUUCCACUCCCUUGUGCUGUUGACUGUUGCAAUGUAUCUGUGGCAGAGAAAGAAGACCACGCAGCAGUGAGAGAAGUCAGAGGACACCACUUCAACAGUUAUCCAAAAAUAGGACAGACACCUCUCUGCCUGCACAAGGACAUGCCGGGUCACUCAGCCUGGCUGCACAAGCCGUUAUCGGAAAAGGUAGGCGUGGAGAAUAAUGAGAGAAAGGAAGAGACAUGACUCAGAGUGGGAAACAGCACGUAGCCAAGGGCAAAUGUUUCUCCCAGACACACAUGGCUCAGGAAGAGACUGAAGCCACAGGUCAUCGGUGGAGCAUUCUUUUCUCUCCCUGACUCUGGGUAGCUUGUCAUCGAGCACCUGCCUGUGACAAAAGGGGAGAGAAAGGCCGUGAGCAGGCCCUGCCUCUCUGGCCGAUGGCACACCAGCGGCUGGCCCCGUUAACUGGGCCAGGGAAACAAGGAGUCACUUGGAAAGUUUCGGAGAUAAACACACCAUUUCCCAGUGAGGCAAGCGGCAAGGGCUAACAUGCUUCUCUCACAGAGAAGGAAACCGGUUGGAAUCCUGAUCUCCUGUACAAAAAAUAAAUAAAAGAUCGCCUUUACAAA
Myotis brandtii (Brandt's bat) is the source of this 1338-nucleotide long non-coding RNA. RefSeq lists it as uncharacterized. The transcript has 2 exons. The record is from RefSeq and is a predicted model, not a curated record. NCBI's taxonomy places the organism in Eukaryota, Metazoa, Chordata, Mammalia, Chiroptera, Vespertilionidae.